AUCAGUUUGUAUGAGGCUAUUUUAACUUUUAUUUGACUAACUUUGAAUUAAUCAAGCAACAAUGGCGAGAGACCCCUCUCAUUAUGACACAAAUGGUUUAGUCCACACCUGCACUAGAUUACGGGCUAAUUUAUUUUAAAACGGUCCAAAAGAGCAAAACAAAGUCAAGUGAGGUUAUUUAUUUAUUUUUUAUUUUUUUUAAAGAACAACACACUUAGAACAGGUAAAGAAAAAGUACAGGAGAGCAGAGUUAACUUAAAAAAGAUGAAGCUUUUAACGGAACAUUAACGGUCAGCGUAACGUUAGUGUGUCUAGGUUCAUAUGAGGUUCAUAUAGGUUAUUUAUCCGUUACUUUCAGGCCAGGUGAACCAGACUGAAGCACCUGCCGCGGUUCAACAGCUCACUGAAGACAACAAGUGAGAUUGGCGGCAUCAUAACUUCGCCUGCUUUCAAUGCUGGAAGGCAAUUGGACGCUUGUGAUGAAGGCUACUUGGUUCAGCCCAAUCGACAUGCUCACAGUAGAUGCCCCCGUAGAGAGGAUACACCGAAAAGAAAGAUGUGGAGGGGUGUUACUGCUGACAAUGGGAUGGAGAAAUGGAGACGGUGGAAGAGGAAGAUGGAACCAUAAAAGGCUGUCUCGGUGAGAAAAGGUUCAUCAUUUUGCUCUCCAUUUCAUCUCACGGUGCUAUAAAAGAGAGAUGAAAUCAGAAGGCUGUCAGGUAAAGGAGAGUAAAACCUUUUGCCUCGUCGCUGAAAUGGACCGAGGAGAGAAAUGGAGAGGUAGAGCGCCCUGCUUCACUUCUCCUUCACAGCAAAAGCUCUUGACUGUCAAGAGAACAAAAACACCUUGCAUCAGGGUUUUACAGGCCGAGUCUUUCAAAGUGGUUUGAAGCCUUUAUUGGAGCACAGUCAGCUUUUAGCAGAGAUUCAGGGGGAAAUGUUCUUUAUGAACUGGGUUAAAUGGCGACAUACAAAGAAGGGCCAUUUUUUUUUAUUUCCAAACGAUUCUGAAAUGCAAGAAAAUCGAGAUAAACCGGUUAUUGUGCCACAGUGAUGAUGUCGCAGUGAUGCUCUCAUUUUGUCUCAUGUUAUAAAUCCAGCACACCCCUUUCCUUCACAGCUGUGUGCUUUCACUGCUCCCUAAAAGGCCAAACUCCCCGUCAGCCAGGCAGUGGCAUGUGUAGUUCAGCUCAAGAUGACGGAGAGAGACUCGUUGGUCGACAGUCGUGUUAAAUAAUUGUAAUCUCAGUAUUGACCAAAAUAAUUAUGAUCGCAUGGUUUUUUUGCCCUAAUUUAAUGUAUGUAUUAUCCUUUCUCCUGUCGAGGUGAAAACCACAGCAGGACUGGUUUGCUCUGAUAUAACCAACCAGUUGAGAUUUCUAUCAACCACCUGGUGUUAAAUGAUAAUUUGAGGCAUGUCUUAAAACAAUACUUAGACAUAUGUACAUUGAAACAUACCGUUUGUACUGACUGGGAAGAAAUCCCCUUUCAUUGUUGUCAAUGUGCAUAAUGGAAGAAUAAUUCCACAGUUUGGUUUGCUGUUCUCCACCACAAAAGUUUAACCAAAUGUAAUUUGAGGCUUCAACAAUUGCAAUGAGUCAAAUUAAGUAGAUGUCUUCCAAGUGUUUUUUUUUAAUUUUGCAUUAAAAC
RNAcentral lists this long non-coding RNA (1650 nucleotides) under Dicentrarchus labrax (European seabass). Its description in RNAcentral is "lncRNA (ENSDLAG00005027757.1)". Lineage: Eukaryota; Metazoa; Chordata; Actinopteri; Moronidae. The record is from RNAcentral.